UCUCAGUCGACACUUGCUCAAGGCGGGU
Molecule: small RNA, 28 nt
Filed under: Bombyx mori (domestic silkworm)
Lineage: Eukaryota; Metazoa; Arthropoda; Insecta; Lepidoptera; Bombycidae
Description: ovarian small RNA-29588
Source: RNAcentral